GUACCUUAGGUACUACCUUAAGAGCCCUUAGGUACUACCUUAAUGGCCUUUAGGUACUAGCUAAAGGGACCCUAGGUACUACCUUAGCUAAACAUGAACUCAACCUCUCCCAAGCCUCGGGUCUUCCUUUGUGACCCUUAGAGCAUCCCAUUAUGCGGUUCUCUUAAGUGCUCAAGAGGUUCACCAAAGGUUUUUUGGGACUGUACCUUAAGUACUACCUUAAGGGCCCUUAGGUACUACCUUAAUGGCCUUUAGGUACUAGCUUAAGGGACCCUAGGUACUACCUUAAGGUAAACAUGAACUCAACCUCUCCCAAGCCUCGGGCCUUCCUUUGUGACCCUUAAAGCAUCCCAUUAUGUGGUUCUCUUGAGUGCUCAAGUGGUCUACCAAUGGUUUUUUGGGACUGUACCUUAGGUACUACCUUAAUGGCCUUUAGGUACUACCUUAAGGGACCCUAGGUACUACCUUAGCUAAACAUGAACUCAACCUCUCCCAAGCCUCGAGUCUUUCUUUGUGACCCUUAGAGCAUCCCAUUAUGUGGUUCUCUUCAGUGCUCAAGUGGUCCACCAAAGUUAUUUUGCACUGUACCUUAGGUACUACCUUAAGAGCCCUUAGGUACUACCUUAAUGGUCUUUAGGUACUACCUUAAGGGACCCUAGGUACUACCUUAGCUAAACUUGAACUCAACCUCUCCCAAGCCUCGGGUCUUCCUUGGUGACUCUUAGAGCAUCCCAUUAUGUGGUUCUCUUGAGUAUUCAAGUGGUCCACCAAAGGUUUUUUGGGACUGUACCUUAGGUACUACCUUAAGGGCCCUUAGGUACUACCUUAAUGGCCUUUAGGUACUACCUUAAGGGACCUUAGGUACUACCUUAAGGUAAACUUGAACUCAACCUCUCCCAAGCCUCGGGUCUUCCUUGGUGACCCUUAGAGCAUCCCAUUAUGUGGUUAUCUUGAGUGUUGAAGUGGUCCACCAAAGGUUUUUUAGGACUGUACCUUAGGUACUACCUUAAGGGCCCUUAGGUACUACCUUAAGAGACCCUAGGUACUACCUUAAGGUAAACUUGAACUCAACCUCUCCCAAGCCUUGUGUCUUCCUUGGUGACCCUUAUAGCAUCCCAUUAUGUGGUUGUCUUCAGUGUUGAAGUGGUCCAUUAUUGGUUUUUUGGGAUUGUAGCUUAGGUACUACCUUAAGGGCCCUUAGGUACUACCUUAGUGGCCUUGAGGUACUACCUUAAGGUAAACUUGAACUCAACCUCUCCCAAGCCUCGGGUCUUCCUUUGUGACCCUUGGACCAUCCCAUUAUGUGGUUCUCUUCAUUCCUCAAGUGGUCCACCAAUGGCUUCUUGGGACUGUAGCUUAGGUACUACCUUAAGGGCCCUUA
This 1381-nucleotide long non-coding RNA is filed under the name Vitis vinifera (wine grape). RNAcentral describes it as "long non-coding RNA (VVIN_LNC007114)". Lineage: Eukaryota; Viridiplantae; Streptophyta; Magnoliopsida; Vitales; Vitaceae. The record is from RNAcentral.